This 296-nucleotide ribosomal RNA is filed under the name uncultured bacterium. RNAcentral describes it as "partial 16S ribosomal RNA". It matches the Rfam family "Bacterial small subunit ribosomal RNA", at positions 333 to 621 of the family's 1533-position model. The record is from RNAcentral.
UUACUCCUACGGGAGGCAGCAGUAGGGAAUUUUCGUCAAUGGGCGCAAGCCUGAACGAGCAAUGCCGCGUGAACGAGGAGGGUCUUCGGAUCGUAAAGCUCUGUUGAAGGGGAAAAAGAGCGGAGAGAGGAAGUGGUCUCCGAUUGAUAUUACCCUUCGAGGAAGUCACGGCUAACUACGUGCCAGCAGCCGCGGUAAUACGUAGGUGGCGAGCGUUAUCCGGAAUGAUUGGGCGUAGAGGGUGCGUAGGCGGCCUGCUAAGUCUGGAGUGAAAGGUACCGGCUCAACCGGUACAG